UUGAUCAUGGCUCAGAUUGAACGCUGGCGGAAUGCUUUACACAUGCAAGUCGAACGGUAGAGGGGGCAACCCCUUGAGAGUGGCGAACGGGUGAGUAAUAUAUCGGAACGUGCCCAGUCGUGGGGGAUAACGUAGUGAAAAUUACGCUAAUACCGCAUACGAUCUAAGGAUGAAAGCGGGGGAUCGCAAGACCCCGCGCGACUGGAGCGGCCGAUAUCAGAUUAGGUAGUUGGUAGGGUAAAGGCCUACCAAGCCAACGAUCUGUAGCUGGUCUGAGAGGACGACCAGCCACACUGGAACUGAGACACGGUCCAGACUCCUACGGGAGGCAGCAGUGGGGAAUUUUGGACAAUGGGCGAAAGCCUGAUCCAGCCAUUCCGCGUGCAGGAUGAAGGCCCUCGGGUUGUAAACUGCUUUUGUACAGAACGAAAAGGUCUCUAUUAAUACUAGGGGCUCAUGACGGUACUGUAAGAAUAAGCACCGGCUAACUACGUGCCAGCAGCCGCGGUAAUACGUAGGGUGCAAGCGUUAAUCGGAAUUACUGGGCGUAAAGCGUGCGCAGGCGGUUAUAUAAGUCAGAUGUGAAAUCCCCGGGCUCAACCUGGGAACUGCAUUUGAGACUGUAUAGCUAGAGUACGGUAGAGGGGGAUGGAAUUCCGCGUGUAGCAGUGAAAUGCGUAGAUAUGCGGAGGAACACCGAUGGCGAAGGCAAUCCCCUGGACCUGUACUGACGCUCAUGCACGAAAGCGUGGGGAGCAAACAGGAUUAGAUACCCUGGUAGUCCACGCCCUAAACGAUGUCAACUGGUUGUUGGGUCUUAACUGACUCAGUAACGAAGCUAACGCGUGAAGUUGACCGCCUGGGGAGUACGGCCGNCAGGNUUGAACUCAAAGGAUUGACGGGGACCC
This 908-nucleotide ribosomal RNA is filed under the name uncultured bacterium. RNAcentral describes it as "bacterial SSU rRNA". It matches the Rfam family "Bacterial small subunit ribosomal RNA", at positions 13 to 922 of the family's 1533-position model. The record is from RNAcentral.